Limanda limanda (common dab) is the source of this 409-nucleotide long non-coding RNA. RefSeq lists it as uncharacterized. The record is from RefSeq and is a predicted model, not a curated record. Lineage: Eukaryota; Metazoa; Chordata; Actinopteri; Pleuronectiformes; Pleuronectidae. The transcript has 2 exons.
UAUCAUUCAUAUCUCUGGUUCUGUGUCCUCAGAUGGAAAGAGCAGUUUCCAGUGUGUGCAUGUUAAUAGUUAAUCCUGCGGCAGAAGUUCUGCAGUUCUCAACUCACCUGUGAUGAUCACCGUUUUCCCGUGUAACUUUGCACUACUCUUACAUCUGGGACUCUUUACGACAUGGAGAAAAUAAAUUGCUCCACCCAGCAGCAGCAGUACCAGUAGCAUUAGCAGCAGCAGCAGCAGCAGCAGCAUCCUGACUGUAAAACGUAAAACUACAGACGCUGAGUGGAAGAGGUGAAAUGUUGAUGGUGGGUUGCAGUGCUGGUCGCAGAUUCGUCAUUUUCACAAAGCGCAUGUGUGUGAAGUGCGGUGAUCUACUGAAGGUCUCGCUGAAAUAAAAAUCCUACAAAAACCC